GUGGCCUGCCCCGCCCCGGAGGCCGAGCUUCCCACCUCAUGACUAUUCAGUGAGGCGUGGCCACGUCCCUCGGCGCGCUCCGCGGCGACCGGGGAGAAGUGCGCGGAGCCGGUCGGAACCAUCUGUGGCCUAGGCAGGGAAUGAGGAAUGUACCAUCUGAGGCCCCGGCCGCGCAGGGCGUCAGGCGCAGACUGUCCACGCGCGGUUAGACGCUCUUUGGGUGCAGACUCCCGCCCUUCCCGCCGCCUUGCUGCCGGAGUUCUGCUGCCCAGGACAACAGUGGAUCUCUCAUGGAGUGCGGAAGAGGAAACCAGCACCUCCUGCAUCGUAAGGCCUCUGAGCUGAGAAAAAUGAAGAGCAGUGGGGCUCUGAGGACCCUCAGUUCUCCAUUCCCAAGCCUCACAUUUUCUCAAGAAAGCAAUUCCGACAAUGAAGUCCUAAAGAGAUCAGGGUAGGGCUGCUGUCCCCACCACUCACUUCCCCCACAAAGAUCCCAGCAAAACGCAGCAGAGAAAUGCCAGCCACAGCCCAAUUUGAGGCUUUCCAAUGUUAAAAA
This 556-nucleotide long non-coding RNA is filed under the name Ictidomys tridecemlineatus (thirteen-lined ground squirrel). RNAcentral describes it as "lncRNA (ENSSTOG00000032071.1)". Lineage: Eukaryota; Metazoa; Chordata; Mammalia; Rodentia; Sciuridae. The record is from RNAcentral.